CACGUAGGGGGCGAGCGUUGUCCGGAUUUAUUGGGCGUAAAGAGCUCGUAGGCGGCUCAGUAAGUCAGGUGUGAAACCUCCAGGCUCAACCUGGAGACGCCACCUGAUACUGCUGUGGCUUGAGUCCGGUAGGGGAGUGUGGAAUUCCUGGUGUAGCGGUGAAAUGCGCAGAUAUCAGGAGGAACACCAGCGGCGAAGGCGGCACUCUGGGCCGGUACUGACGCUGAGGCGCGAAAGCGUGGGGAGCGAACAGG
Molecule: ribosomal RNA, 254 nt
Filed under: uncultured bacterium
Lineage: Bacteria
Description: partial 16S ribosomal RNA
Rfam family: Bacterial small subunit ribosomal RNA
Source: RNAcentral